GACAACGUCCAUACCAUGUUGAAAACACCGGUUCUUGUCCGAUCACAGAAGUUAAGAAACAUCGGGAAAUGUUAGUAUUUAGAUGGGUGACCGCUUGGGAACGUUGGCAUCUUUU
Molecule: ribosomal RNA, 115 nt
Filed under: Belgica antarctica
Lineage: Eukaryota; Metazoa; Arthropoda; Insecta; Diptera; Chironomidae
Source: RNAcentral